AAAAGUAGAAUGGUUCAAAUAAUAGCUGCUAACUAAUAUUUAAGCGGUUCAAUUCCGUUUUUCUUUUU
This 68-nucleotide transfer RNA is filed under the name Plaxiphora albida. RNAcentral describes it as "tRNA-Ser". The record is from RNAcentral. Lineage: Eukaryota; Metazoa; Mollusca; Polyplacophora; Chitonida; Mopaliidae.